This 206-nucleotide ribosomal RNA is filed under the name uncultured bacterium. Its description in RNAcentral is "partial 16S ribosomal RNA". It matches the Rfam family "Bacterial small subunit ribosomal RNA", at positions 568 to 774 of the family's 1533-position model. The record is from RNAcentral.
CUCGUAGGCGGUUCGUCGCGUCCGGUGUGAAAGUCCAUCGCUUAACGGUGGAUCUGCGUCGGGUACGGGCGGGUUGAGUGCGGUAGGGGAGACUGGAAUUCCCGGUGUAACGGUGGAAUGUGUAGAUAUCGGGAAGAACACCAAUGGCGAAGGCAGGUCUCUGGGCCGUCACUGACGCUGAGGAGCGAAAGCGUGGGGAGCGAACA